UUGACCUCGAUCAGGUAGGAAUACCCGCUGAACUAA
Molecule: ribosomal RNA, 36 nt
Filed under: Fusarium oxysporum
Lineage: Eukaryota; Fungi; Ascomycota; Sordariomycetes; Hypocreales; Nectriaceae
Description: partial 28S ribosomal RNA
Source: RNAcentral